GCUCCACUCCCUGCCCACCUCCCUCUCUCCAUCUUUUCACAGGCACAGAGGAGAGACUGUGUGAGGACUCAUGGAGGAGACUGCCAUCUGCAAACCAGGAAGAAAGGCCUCAUCCUGCUGGCACCUGGAUCUCAGACUUCCAGCCUCCAGAAUGGAGCAGAAGAGAGAGCGCAAGAAAGCAGAAGCAGGGGGAGCAGGAGAGGGAGAAGCAGACUCCCUGCUGAGCAGGAAGCCUGAUGCCCCUGCCUCAAUCCCAGAACUCCAGGAUCAGGACCAAAGCUGAAGGCAGGUGCUUAACCAACUGAGCCACCCAGAAGUUCCUGUACCCAGAACUAUCUGGACCCUCCCCUCAUGUAGUGAUUGUGUGGGUCAGGUCAGUGCUUCUCAAACGUUGAUGGCUAUCAGAAAUGCCCAGGGGAGUGCCUCGCUGCCUCAGCUGGAAGAGCAUGCAAUUCAUGGUCUCGGGUUGUGAGUUGGACCCCACAUUGGGAGUAGAGAUUACUAUGAAAAAUAAAUAAAAUUUAAAAAAAAAGAAAGAAAGAAAGAAAGAAAGAAGAAAAGAAAAGAAAAGAAUGCCCAGGGUAAGGUUUGGCCCUUACCCUGGUUAUGGUGAGCUAUGUGAGGCCUCAGAUUCUGCAUUUUAAUAAGUGAUAUCCCCACCAGAUGAUUGUUGAAGGUGGUCCCAGACCGCGCUUUGAGAAACGCCACUCUGCUCUCAGCCUGCGGGUUCAGAGAGAUAUGGCAGGGAGCUGGUGACCCACAAAACAUACAUAAAAGUUCUACAAAGAUAUGCAAAAAACACUGUCAGCCUCUGAGGAGGCUUGAGGGUCUGCUAUGAGAGGGAGGUUUAUUUUUAAAUUUUUGUUUUAUUUUAUAUUUUUAAUUUUAUUUAUUUAAAGAUUUUAUUUCUUUAUGUGUGAGAGAGAGCACGAACAGUGGGGGGGGGGGAGGCAGGGAGAAAAGCAGAUUCCCCACUGAGCAGGAGUCCCACCUGGGGGCUCUAUCCCAGAAUCCACACCCCCCCUCCAUCAUGACCUGAGCCCAAGGCAGAUGCUUAACUGACUGAGCCAGCCAGGCACCCCUGUUUCGUGUUUUUUACCCUUAAGAAUGUACUAUUUUUCAAUUUAAAAACUAAUUGGAGGGGCACCUGGGUGGCUCAGUCACUUAAGCGCCUGCUUUCGGUUCAGGUCAUGAUCCCAGCGUCCUGGGAUCCAGCCCCACGAUCCCAGCCCCACGUCAGGCUCCCUGCUCAGUGGGGGGCCUGCUUCUCCCUCUGCCUACAGCUCUGCCUGCUUAUGCUCUCU
RNAcentral lists this long non-coding RNA (1304 nucleotides) under Mustela putorius furo (domestic ferret). RNAcentral describes it as "lncRNA (ENSMPUG00000027587.1)". The record is from RNAcentral. Lineage: Eukaryota; Metazoa; Chordata; Mammalia; Carnivora; Mustelidae.